UCAGUACGUGCCUAAUUAUUAAUGACACGAGGCCUUGAUUUUGCUUUUUCUUUUUGGCUUCUUUUUUGCAUUUGAGACCAAUGUUUCACCUUCGCAAUUCUCUCCCCACUCCUCUAUUGUUCUUUCACCUUUUCUCUAUUUCAGGAUGGACUUGUGUUGAUGUGUUGAAUCUUAGAAGAACUUUGAGCAGCACUUUGGAUUGUUAUUGAGCGAAGACAUCUCUUGAACACUCCUUCUUGUUGAAAACCUUAUGAGAAGACUUAUGUAUAUAUCGCUGCUCUCCUUUGCCUCCAAUUAAGAUGUCGUGCCACUUUUCAAGAUGUCAAGAUGCUAUAUCACUUUUCAAGGUGUCUUCAAAAGGGGAUAUGUGACCCCUUUAUAUAAGUGUGAGCUAGGGCUUGGGGGUAUUUUGGUCUCCAACAAAAUUCUAGCGGACCUUGGGCUAGAAAGAUGUGGGUUGGGAUCGUCUUGUACAGGCCCAACUUAAUGGAUUAACCCAUAUGUAAUUUGGAUUUCAUUCAAAUCAUGUAAUUUUGACUUAAAUAAUUAAUCCGACUUUAUUAACCAAAAUUUUAGUUGGUCAA
Molecule: long non-coding RNA, 584 nt
Organism: Lycium barbarum (goji berry)
Lineage: Eukaryota; Viridiplantae; Streptophyta; Magnoliopsida; Solanales; Solanaceae
Exons: 2
Source: RefSeq, a predicted model, not a curated record